This is a long non-coding RNA of Rosa chinensis, 1642 nucleotides long. RefSeq lists it as uncharacterized. Lineage: Eukaryota; Viridiplantae; Streptophyta; Magnoliopsida; Rosales; Rosaceae. The record is from RefSeq and is a predicted model, not a curated record. The transcript has 2 exons.
UGUACGAGGCUGCUAUAUUGGGUAAAGUUGAUAAUCCAAACCCACUCCUCUCUCUCUCUCUCAUCUCUCUGUGUGAACCCUAAAAACCUCCUCCCCUCACCUUCAGAUUCCGAUUUAGUUCCUGGGGAUUUAGCUUCACGCCCAAAAAUAUGCCAAUCCUUAUACAUAGUCACAACCAUAGCCAUAGCAGAUUGUUCACUUGGUUUUCUCGAUACUUAUUGGGUUCAAUGGAGGAGAGAAGAAAAGCAGAUCUCAUUCUGUAUUUUUAUCGGUUAGAUCCUUAAGGCCUUAGGGUAUCUGGGUCAUUAUGUAGCCACAAAUACCUGAAGGUUUUGCUGAGCCCCGAAUUCAGAUGGAAUGGAUAACAGAGAUCAAGUGAAGCCAAGGAAGAUGGAUCUCCUCCUUCCUUCACAUCCACCGGCGCCUCCAGGUUAGCAUUCGACCCGGCCCAAUUUCACAGUGAUUCAUAUCCUAGGCUGACUGGGCCGAAUGCCGUAUUGGUAUAUCCUGGGCUGGGCUCGGCCUGGCCCGAUUCCGAUUUGUUCAUAAAUUUACCCUUGUUUCUUACAGUUUGUUACGAACUUCACCAUUCUUCUUCCUUUAAAACCCGACGAGCGGAGGCACUCUUGGCACUCCCAUUUUUAUCUUACUGCUUGUAAUCUUUGCAUACCCUCAUUUCCUAUCCUCAUCCAUGGCCAACAACAACCCCCGUUCAUUCCCAACCCAUACGGAGAUAAUCCUCCAUAUGUUCCAAAUCAGAACUUUAUCGUUGAGCCAAACGAUCCGAACCCACCUGUCCUACUGAAUCCCAAUGGUAAUUUUUCCCGGGUAAUUGAAAACCCUUAUUACAAUGCCCGAUUCCGAUUUGUUUAUAAAUUUACCCUUGUUUCUUACAGUUUUUUACGAACUUCACCAUUCUUCUUCCUUUAAAACCCGACGAGCGGAGGCACUCUCGGCACUCCCAUCUUUUAUCUUACUGCUUGUAAUCUUUGCAUACCUUCAUUUCCUAUCCUCAUCCAUGGCCAACAAAAAUCCCCCCUUCAUUCCCAACCCAUACGGAGAUUAUCCUCCCUAUGUUCCAAAUCAAAACUAUAUCGUUGACCCAAAGAUCCGAACCCACCUGUCAUACUGAAUCCCAAUGGUAAUUUUCCCCGGGUAAUUGAAAACCCAUAUUACAAUGCUAAUCCCGAGCAGAUUCAGCCUGCACACUUUGAGCCCCGUGAGAGAGAGAGGAGGCUCAUGGGAAGGGAACCGAUGAAGGGCCCUUAACAAGCCCAGAAACACCCCUCGGGAAGCGGGGGAAUACGGUUCUGGUGUGGCUGGGGGGCUUGUGGAGUGGCCGGGUGGUGGCGGUUUAGAUCCCGUGGUGGUGUCUGUUUUAAUCUCUUGGUGGUGUCUUUUAAUCGUUCUUAAUUUCUGUUGUGUAUUUUGUUGUAAUGUAUUGUUGGAAUGUGGGAUCUAUAUAAUAAAAUUUCAUGUUGGGCUUGUGGAGUGGCCGGGUGGUGGCGGUUUAGAUCCCGUGGUGGUGUCUGUUUUAAUCUCUUGGUGGUCUCUUAAUCGUUCUUAAUUUCUGUUGUGUAUUUUGUUGUAAUGUAUUGUUGGGAAUGUGGGAUCUAUAUAAUAAAAUUUCAUGUUGUUGUAA